CGCAGAGUGGGCGGAGUCUCGCAGGCCCCGCCCACCGCCGGGUAAUCGUCGGUUCGUCUGAACCGAACUGCAGUGCAGAGCCGGAAUGGGGGGCUUGGCCCCAGUCCAGCACAGUCAAAAUUAGCUCUCUGUUGAAUUACAUGCAGUCAGCCAGUGGAAGCGCCUGAGAUCCUGACGCCCCAGUCCCGCAGCCUUGUACGGGGGUCCAAACCCCGCAAGGCUGCCGCUCGGGUCCGCUUUCGUCCAAGAACGCCUUUUCCAACAGCAACUUUACAGCAAAGGACAAGAACAAAGACUUUAUCUCUUGUUUCUUCAAAAUGACACCAACAGGAGCAAUGGGGGAUCCCAUUAGAGCUCACAGCGGUGUUCCUGAACCUGGUGGCGCGGAGAGGAACGACCACGAAAGAUCGACAUCCCAUCUGUCGGAUGCAGGAUAGAGAACGGUCCUCUGGGGAAAUUGUAUCCUCAUAAAAACCUG
Molecule: long non-coding RNA, 478 nt
Filed under: Sinocyclocheilus grahami
Lineage: Eukaryota; Metazoa; Chordata; Actinopteri; Cypriniformes; Cyprinidae
Description: lncRNA (ENSSGRG00000027058.1)
Source: RNAcentral